Ornithorhynchus anatinus (platypus) is the source of this 385-nucleotide long non-coding RNA. RefSeq lists it as uncharacterized. Lineage: Eukaryota; Metazoa; Chordata; Mammalia; Monotremata; Ornithorhynchidae. The record is from RefSeq and is a predicted model, not a curated record. The transcript is spliced from 3 exons.
CUUGAUUGGCGUUUUCGCCAUCUGAACGACUCUGUGCAUUGUCAUUCGGAGAGAUGGAGACAAAAGACGCCGCUGUGAUGGCUUUUGAUGGGGAGGAAGAAGAGUGGAGAUGGAAGCCGAGGUCUAAUGAAGUGUUUUAUUGGAUAUAAAUAUGGAAAACUCAAGCCCGGAGGAGCUGCUAGGAUCCAGCUGUGAGGAUGAGAGGUAAAAGGAUCAGGGUUGCUCCGGGCGCUUUCGUCCGGGACAAUCCACGCUCCGACCCCAGUAGGAAUGGAAUCGGUCCCUGCGGAGCUCAGCGCUUAACGCAGGGCCCCGCACACCAUAAGCACUCAGUCGAUACCACCGACGGAGCGACGGACACGCAGAUGACGACGAGAUUCCACCG